RNAcentral lists this ribosomal RNA (505 nucleotides) under uncultured bacterium. RNAcentral describes it as "partial 16S ribosomal RNA". It matches the Rfam family "Bacterial small subunit ribosomal RNA", at positions 28 to 507 of the family's 1533-position model. The record is from RNAcentral.
GACGAACGCUGGCGGCGUGCCUAAUACAUGCAAGUCGAACGCACAGUUUAUACCGUAGCUUGCUACACCAUAGACUGUGAGUUGCGAACGGGUGAGUAACGCGUAGGUAACCUGCCUGGUAGCGGGGGAUAACGCUUGGAAACGAUAGCUAAUACCGCAUCAUAUUAAUUAUUGCAUGAUAAUUAAUUUAAAGGUGGAAUUGCACCACUACCAGAUGGACCUUCGUUGUAUUAGCUAGUAAGGGUGGUACCGGGACCCCUAGUCGAGGAUACAUUGACCACCGGAGUGGGGGGUAGGCCACACGGGGACUGAGACACGGCCCAUACUCCUGCGGGAGGCAGCAGUAGGGAAUCGGCGGCAAUGGAGGAAAGUCUUGCCGAGCAGGGCCGCGCGAGUGGAGAAGGUGUUCGGUGCGUAAAGCUCUGUUGUAAGUGGAGAACGGGUGUGAGAGUGGAAAGUGCAUAUUGUGACGGUACCUGACCAGAAAGCGACGGCUAACUACGUG